This 202-nucleotide small nucleolar RNA is filed under the name Sphenodon punctatus (tuatara). Its description in RNAcentral is "Small nucleolar RNA SNORA74 (ENSSPUG00000006254.1)". The record is from RNAcentral. Lineage: Eukaryota; Metazoa; Chordata; Lepidosauria; Sphenodontia; Sphenodontidae.
CCCAGCAGUAGUCAGUAGUCUGUAGCAGUGCAAUGCCUUUCCCAGCGUUACGUUGCUGGGAGAGAAAGGUGCUGCUGUCCAUUUCACCUGUCAGAGUCCUCAUUCUGGAGGCAGCUAACACCAGUGUGGAGCAGUGCUGUGCUUCUCUGAGUGGGCUAAGCAGUCACUUCACUGCUUAGUGCUUAGUCUGCAAGCAUAUAGA